RNAcentral lists this ribosomal RNA (464 nucleotides) under uncultured bacterium. Its description in RNAcentral is "partial 16S ribosomal RNA". It matches the Rfam family "Bacterial small subunit ribosomal RNA", at positions 29 to 507 of the family's 1533-position model. The record is from RNAcentral.
ACGAACGCUGGCGGCGUGCUUAACACAUGCAAGUCGAACGGAAAGGCCCCCUUGUGGGGUACUCGAGUGGCGAACGGGUGAGUAACACGUGAGUAACCUACCCUUGACUUUGGGAUAACUUCAGGAAACUGGGGCUAAUACCGGAUAGGAGCUCCUGCUGCAUGGUGGGGGUUGGAAAGUUUCGGCGGUUGGGGAUGGACUCGCGGCUUAUCAGCUUGUUGGUGGGGUAGUGGCUCACCAAGGCUUUGACGGGUAGCCGGCCUGGGAGGGUGACCGGCCACAUUGGGACUGAGAUACGGCCCAGACUCCUACGGGAGGCAGCAGUGGGGAAUAUUGCACAAUGGGCGGAAGCCUGAUGCAGCAACGCCGCGUGCGGGAUGACGGCCUUCGGGUUGUAAACCGCUUUCGCCUGUGACGAAGCGUGAGUGACGGUAAUGGGUAAAGAAGCACCGGCUAACUACGUG